This 560-nucleotide ribosomal RNA is filed under the name uncultured archaeon. RNAcentral describes it as "bacterial SSU rRNA". It matches the Rfam family "Archaeal small subunit ribosomal RNA", at positions 314 to 879 of the family's 1478-position model. The record is from RNAcentral.
CGAUUCGCCCUUCGGGGUGCCGCGGCGCGAUUUCUUUGCAUGCUGGAAACCGUGAUUAGGGAGCUCUGAGUGCCCGUAAAAUCGGGCUGUCCAUCGGUUUAAAUAACCGGUGAAGAAAGGGCCGGGCAAGACCGGUGCCAGCCGCCGCGGUAAUACCGGCGGCUCGAUUGGUGGCCACUAUUACUGGGCUUAAAGCGUUCGCAGCUGGUCUGUUAAGUCUCUGGGGAAAUCUUCCGGCUUAACCGGAAGGCAUCUCACGGAUACUGGUAUACUAGGGACCGGGAGAGGUGAGAGGUACUCCAGGGGUACGAGUGAAAUCCUGUAAUCCUUGGGGGACCACCUGUGGCGAAGGCGUCUCACCAGAACGGCUCCCACUGUGAGGGACGAAAGCUGGGGGAGCAAACCGGAUUAGAUACCCACGGUAGUCCCAGCUGUAAACGAUGCGCGUUACGUGUAUCGCUGACCACGAUUCACCGAGGUGCCGAACAGAAAUCGUGAAACGUGCCGCCUGGCAAGUACGGUCGCAAGGCUGAAACUUAAAGGAAUUGGCGGGGGAGCAC